Molecule: ribosomal RNA, 483 nt
Filed under: uncultured bacterium
Lineage: Bacteria
Description: partial 16S ribosomal RNA
Rfam family: Bacterial small subunit ribosomal RNA
Source: RNAcentral
AUUGAACGCUGGCGGCAGGCCUAACACAUGCAAGUCGAGCGGAUGAAGGGAGCUUGCUCCUGGAUUCAGCGGCGGACGGGUGAGUAAUGCCUAGGAAUCUGCCUGGUAGUGGGGGAUAACGUCCGGAAACGGGCGCUAAUACCGCAUACGUCCUGAGGGAGAAAGUGGGGGAUCUUCGGACCUCACGCUAUCAGAUGAGCCUAGGUCGGAUUAGCUAGUUGGUGGGGUAAAGGCCUACCGAGGCGACGAUCCGUAACUGGUCUGAGAGGAUGAUCAGUCACACUGGAACUGAGACACGGUCCAGACUCCUACGGGAGGCAGCAGUGGGGAAUAUUGGACAAUGGGCGAAAGCCUGAUCCAGCCAUGCCGCGUGUGUGAAGAAGGUCUUCGGAUUGUAAAGCACUUUAAGUUGGGAGGAAGGGCAGUAAGUUAAUACCUGGCUGUUUUGACGUUACCAACAGAAUAAGCACCGGCUAACUUCGU